RNAcentral lists this long non-coding RNA (1449 nucleotides) under Equus caballus (horse). RNAcentral describes it as "lncRNA (ENSECAG00000044501.1)". The record is from RNAcentral. Lineage: Eukaryota; Metazoa; Chordata; Mammalia; Perissodactyla; Equidae.
UGUCACCCUGAGCUAAUGUCUUAAGGAAGAACAAUUAUUCUUAACAAAUGCUGGAUUCAUCUCCAAAGUUAGAGCAAGACCUUAAAUGGGAAUGUAAGAAAUAAUUCACUGACUGGGAGGAUCAUCAUCACUUCCAAGGUGACUACCUUGUGUUCAGGGAGUAGAGGGAAAUCCAGAAGCAGGAGGAGAUAUGGUCCUUUCCCACAGGGAGAGUCUAGUCCCGUGGACUGAGGUGGGAUGCCACUCAAGGCACAAGGACUAAGUUGAAGAAAGACAAGGACAGACCAGGAGGCACUUUACAGAGCUCCAGAGGUCCUUUAUGGGUAUGUCAAGACAUCUAUCUUAGAUUUAAGUUUCUGCUACUGAGGAGAUUGGGCCUACCUGUGGAUGCCUUUGUACAGUGGCCAACACUUGCCAGACUAAUUGCUUCCUGAGCUAGGAAGAGCGUCCAGACAGAGACCUAGGAAGUUUGAUAUAUUGGGAUCCUUCAACUGCCGGGAUUCCAGAUGAUAAAUAAACUGCACGGUGGAAUUUGAAUCAACCUAUUCAGAGACUUGAGAGGAGUAAGAGGGGUUCUGGGAGAGAAGGCGAGCUCACUUCUACAGACAACUCUCCUCGCUGGCCACACCAUGCUCUAUAAACACCCUGCACCAUCUGUGAUGUCAACCACCGGCCGCCUGGAGAACAUGCCCUGCUCUGUCAUGUACUCCUUUCCAACUGAGGACCACCUUAUUCAUCCUCCAGUCUCAACAGUGUAUGAUCGGCACCACCCCAUCCAAGAUUGAGACAUUAAAUAAGUUUACCAAGAUCAUAUAGCCCAUAAAAAGAACAGCUGGAAUUUGAACUUGGUUCUCCGUGACUUCAAAGCCCAAAUUCUUUCUGCUGCAGCAUCCUGCCUCUACAAAGAGUGAAAAUCCCAGGGCAUGGCUAUUAAAGGAGAAUUUGAGCCAGUUUUUAUCCUGUGCCCAGGGCACACCCUGCCAAUGUCUUCCCUUUCCUCCCAGACAGAUACUGAUGGGCCAGGGCUGGAGAGGCUGAAGCCUGAGGUACAAAAACUUAACUGACCGCCACCAAGGAAGUACCCCAGGAUCUACAGCCCAAUUUGGCGACGUCAGAGAUCUGAAACAAGAAUGCAAGGCCAAGUCUCUCUCAUCUCAACAAACUGCAAAUACAAACAAAAUAACCCAAAUUGGCUGAGAGAAAACAUACUAUCUGUGACAUUUAUUAUUUGCUUCAGUGUCAUCCCCUUGAUGGUCAAUGACUGAACAGAUAGACAACAUAGAGUUUUAUUACUUUCACUGCUUUAUUUAAUUUGGAAAACAAGUCACUUAAUGCUUUGGCAUUAGGCAAUAUAAUACAAUACUCAGACUGCAAUAACUAACUUUAAGCCUAGACUACAGAAAGGAGGAGGGGUCCAAUAGUUAAAUGGUUGAAUGUUGUUUAGAAUAG